GGAAACAGAACUCGGGUGGUUGAGUGUCUCCCUUUUAAGGAGAACGUCAGUGGUUCGAACCCACUUGUUUCCA
Molecule: transfer RNA, 73 nt
Organism: Rhizoctonia solani AG-8 WAC10335
Lineage: Eukaryota; Fungi; Basidiomycota; Agaricomycetes; Cantharellales; Ceratobasidiaceae
Rfam family: tRNA
About the family: Transfer RNA (tRNA) molecules are approximately 80 nucleotides in length.
Source: Rfam